UUUACGUAUUACGUACUACGUAGAGCGUUGUGUCUGAACACUCUUCCGUUCCCAGCUACGUAACUCGGAGCGUAAAAACGUUAUACGUAGUACGUAAAACGCUCAAAAAGGCUGUAGUCUGAACGUGGCUUAACGCACAAAACAUCUAUUACACCAGGACAAGUUUAAAACGUAUUGCUAGAUUACCUAACCGAUGCAUUAGCAGGUGAAAGGACGAAUUUACAAAAGACCCGGAAAGAUAGAGGCUUACAAUUCGAAAUAGAAGGCAUAACUUGUGAUAGCAAAUCAUUUGAAAUAUAGGUUUUUAAAUACUCAUCAAUAAAAUUUUCCAAUAGGGAGAAUGUUCUGAAUUACAAUGCACGCUAUCAGAGGAGUUGCUUCUGAACUCAGAAAGACUUCGUACUUUAACAAUCCUCCGUCGCGAUGAAAAGAAGUAUCAGGACAGAUUGCAGAAAAAUUCAUGGUUACUAGUGAGUCUUUUGAAUUUCUAUUUUACCUACGGCGAGAGGAAGUCAAGAAACGUUUAGGACACGAUCUGAACAAGAAAAAAGAAAUCAAAUUGAAGGACAUCAUAUUCCGCAACCUUUUUCCGAAGAGAAUCUGAAAGAGUACGGGAACGUGGCAGAACUCACAUCCGAAUUGCUAGGGAAGCUCAAGAUCUCAAACGCUACGUAGAAGAACAAAGGGAGACUAUUGUUCAAUUGAAAAAAGACAUCAGUCGCCUGAAAAAGAAGUGUGGUAGGCAAAAUCACACUUCAUCCCAGCACUAUCGAGUUGGCUAGCUACGUAUCCCUGGCAAUACGUUUGGAAAAUGACGAAUCCCUGUGACGAAUCCCUGUUUAAAUAUCAAUUUCCUUGUCUUUUGAGAUUUAGUGCUUCUUCGAUGCAAUUUGGCAAUUUCUGAAAGGCAAAAUUAGAGGAAUGAAAAGGAAAAAAAUAAAAUUUCAAAUGAUCCCAUGCCGCAGCCUAUUCUCACUAAGAAAGUAAUAAACACAAUGGUGGGCUA
RNAcentral lists this unclassified non-coding RNA (1006 nucleotides) under Daphnia magna. RNAcentral's name for it is "uncharacterized LOC116930707, transcript variant X4". The record is from RNAcentral. Lineage: Eukaryota; Metazoa; Arthropoda; Branchiopoda; Diplostraca; Daphniidae.